UCCGUUUAUUUUAUUGAAAAGGUUUUCCAGGUAUAACAGUUAUCAGUAAACAUGAAGAAGGGUUUUCGCAGAAGAACGAGAAACGUCUUCUCAGAAAAUAAACACCUUUUCUGAUCCGGUUUCGGAAGUGACUGGAAGAAGGAACUUUGAAAAAUAUUGGCAAAGUGCGCCUCUCUAUUUUAAAGUCAGCCCAUAACUCGAUAAAUACAAUCAAAACUCCCAGAAAAUUAAAGAUAAAUUAGACUUUAUUCCUUAUUUUGAAGGUGACAGACAUAACCGUCCAUCAUACUACGAGUUAUAUAAAGUAUCAAUGAACUUUUCCAAUAUGGCCUCUCAUUUCCCUCGCUGUUGAUGGCAGAUUUACUUUAGAGGACGAAAUAAGAGACUUCUAUGUUUUUAGCGAAAAUAUCAUUUUUCUUUUAUGUGUUAUUUCAAUAAUCAAGCGUUCUUAAUUACUUUUUACUGGCGUUUUAUAUGUAGGCAUACUAGGCAAUUAUAGUAGGCAAAAAUUUAUUAAAGAAACAUGUCUGACGUAACAAUAACAACAGCAAGCCUCAAGUUGUAUGUAGAUAAGGUGUUGAAGCUUCAAAAGAACUUUAACUGGAUGAUGGACAGCUAUGUACUUGAUUUUUUCACUGAAAAUUUGUGGCAUAAACUCCCAAGAAAAUGGGCAGAUGCUCUCUCUGAACUACAGCCUAAAGAUAUUGCUUACUUUUUCUUCGAAAUGCCAUCUCCUGUGAAACCUAAUCAAAACUCACAAACGCCAAAAUUUAGAAAUGUUUGGCCUUUAGAACUUUUGGCAUUCCUUACCACAUGUUAUGCACUGAAGUUGGAGAAUCAGAAAUAUUUAAAAAUUAUCAACCAGGUGAACACUCCUGAAAAAAGCAACUCUCCAAGAGAAUGUACAAAGUCAAAAACAUUUGAAAGGGAACCAUGUGAUACCAACAGGAAUUGUAAUAUUCAAAAGGUUUCUGACAGUGGUGUGAUGCAGCAAAAGGUUGAACAUUUCAGUGACCCAUUCCGACGUCACAUCAAACCAAAGAAGCAAUAUGAGAUCAACGUUCUCUCCAAGGUAAUUUGGGAACAAACAGAAAGACUACAGUGUUGGAAUAUUGUGGAUGUCGGUGCAGGAUUGGGUCACUUAUCCCGUUUACUGAGCUACGGUUAUAAGCUACGAGUUGUGACGAUAGAAGGCGUUGGCUGUCACAAGAAUAACGCUGAAAAAAUUGACGAGAAAGUUCUCAAGAAGUUGCAAAAACAGGAAUCCGCGGAAAAGGCUGUAGAAACUGUUGAUAAACCACUUGUUCAUAUCACACAUCAUAUAAAUGCAGACAUUUCAACUGAGAAGUUCGCGAAAAUUGUCUCCGACGCCUUUUCAAAGAUGGAAAGCGAUGAAACAAGCAAGCAGUUAAACUCGCAAAAGAUGUUUGCAUCCUCAGAAAACUUUAUCAUUGUUGGUCUGCACACUUGCGGUGAUUUGGCGCCAACUUUACUGCGAGUUUUUACUCAAUGCCAGAGUGCUGUCGGGUUGAUCUCAGUCGGUUGUUGUUAUAUGAAAUUAAGCCACGAAAAAUCCACUAGAGAUCAAACCACUCCAACACUUCGAGGCAACAAGUUUAAUAUGAUCAAUUCAACAAACACGGACAGCAUAAGGACUGGAGACAAAGAAUCGACAAUCCAAAAUGAAGUGGAUCUCACAGGCGCUCAUGUCGAUCAUAUUCCUUCGGAGGUUUUUGGUCGUUCUCAGGAAGAUGCUUUUGUAAAAGUCCUGGGUUAUCCAAUGAGUCAUUGUGUUAAAGGAUUUUUGAAUCAUAAACAGACUUAUAACGCUCUCGAAUCGGCUUGCCACGCAAUCGACAGAUAUCACAAGAAAUUGUUAGAAAUAUCACCAACACUGAAACUUCACAGCUACAGAGCAUUGCUGGAACUCUUGCUUAAGCAAAAAAGGCCAGACUGCCCCAGAAGACAGAUCCGUACUUUGCGAACGAAAAAAGCAGUGAAUAUGUCAUUUUUUGAGUGAGGAACUGACCAGUUUCUAUAAAUAUGUGACAAAAGCCUGUGAUAUUCUAGAAAUAGAUGAAGACAGACCCAGCAGAGAAGAAAUACAUGUCGUUGAAGAACUUCACGGUAG
RNAcentral lists this unclassified non-coding RNA (2131 nucleotides) under Dendronephthya gigantea. RNAcentral's name for it is "protein RRNAD1-like, transcript variant X1". Lineage: Eukaryota; Metazoa; Cnidaria; Anthozoa; Malacalcyonacea; Nephtheidae. The record is from RNAcentral.